UACGUAGGUGGCAAGCGUUGUCCGGAUUUACUGGGCGUAAAGAGCGCGCAGGCGGUCGGAUAAGUCGAAUGUGAAAGCCCCCGGCUCAACUGGGGAGGGUCAUUCGAUACUGUUCGACUGGAAGGCAGGAGAGGGAAGCGGAAUUCCCGGUGUAGUGGUGAAAUGCGUAGAGAUGUGGAGGAACACCGAUGGCGAAGGCAGCCUCCUGGGCCAGCACUGGACGCUCCAUGCACGAAAGCGUGGGGAGCAAACAGG
RNAcentral lists this ribosomal RNA (255 nucleotides) under uncultured bacterium. Its description in RNAcentral is "partial 16S ribosomal RNA". It matches the Rfam family "Bacterial small subunit ribosomal RNA", at positions 524 to 776 of the family's 1533-position model. The record is from RNAcentral.